Molecule: ribosomal RNA, 648 nt
Filed under: Enterobacter sp.
Lineage: Bacteria; Pseudomonadati; Pseudomonadota; Gammaproteobacteria; Enterobacterales; Enterobacteriaceae
Description: bacterial SSU rRNA
Rfam family: Bacterial small subunit ribosomal RNA
Source: RNAcentral
CUCAACCUGGGAACUGCAUUCGAAACUGGCAGGCUAGAGUCUUGUAGAGGGGGGUAGAAUUCCAGGUGUAGCGGUGAAAUGCGUAGAGAUCUGGAGGAAUACCGGUGGCGAAGGCGGCCCCCUGGACAAAGACUGACGCUCAGGUGCGAAAGCGUGGGGAGCAAACAGGAUUAGAUACCCCGCUAGUAUUCCUCGUAAACGAUGUCGACUUUGAGGUUGUGCCCUUGAGGUGUGGCUUCCGGAGCUAACGCGUUAAGUCGGCAGUUUUGAGGGCUACGGCCGCGAGGUUAAAACUCAAUUGACAUGACGGGGGACCGCACAAGCGGUGGAGCAUGUGGUUUAAUUCGAUGCAACGCGAAGAACCCCUACUUACUCUUGACAUCCAGAGAACUUAGCAGAGAUGGAUUGGUGCUUUCGGGAACUCUGAGACAGGUGCUGCAUGGCUGUCGUCAGCUCGUGUUCCGAAAUGAUGGGUUAAGUCCCGCAACGAGCUCAACCCACAUCCUUUGUUGCCAGCGGUUCGGCCGGGAACUCAAAGGAUCCUGCCAGUGAUAAACUCCCGGAAGGUGGGGAUGACGUCACGUCAUCAGUGUCCUUGCUCGUCGGGUUAGACCCGUGAUACAUUGGCGCAUACAAAGGGAAGUGACC